Molecule: ribosomal RNA, 1415 nt
Filed under: Salmonella enterica subsp. enterica serovar Concord
Lineage: Bacteria; Pseudomonadati; Pseudomonadota; Gammaproteobacteria; Enterobacterales; Enterobacteriaceae
Description: bacterial SSU rRNA
Rfam family: Bacterial small subunit ribosomal RNA
Source: RNAcentral
GUAAUGUCUGGGAAACUGCCUGAUGGAGGGGGAUAACUACUGGAAACGGUGGCUAAUACCGCAUAACGUCGCAAGACCAAAGAGGGGGACCUUCGGGCCUCUUGCCAUCAGAUGUGCCCAGAUGGGAUUAGCUAGUUGGUGAGGUAACGGCUCACCAAGGCGACGAUCCCUAGCUGGUCUGAGAGGAUGACCAGCCACACUGGAACUGAGACACGGUCCAGACUCCUACGGGAGGCAGCAGUGGGGAAUAUUGCACAAUGGGCGCAAGCCUGAUGCAGCCAUGCCGCGUGUAUGAAGAAGGCCUUCGGGUUGUAAAGUACUUUCAGCGGGGAGGAAGGUGUUGUGGUUAAUAACCGCAGCAAUUGACGUUACCCGCAGAAGAAGCACCGGCUAACUCCGUGCCAGCAGCCGCGGUAAUACGGAGGGUGCAAGCGUUAAUCGGAAUUACUGGGCGUAAAGCGCACGCAGGCGGUCUGUCAAGUCGGAUGUGAAAUCCCCGGGCUCAACCUGGGAACUGCAUUCGAAACUGGCAGGCUUGAGUCUUGUAGAGGGGGGUAGAAUUCCAGGUGUAGCGGUGAAAUGCGUAGAGAUCUGGAGGAAUACCGGUGGCGAAGGCGGCCCCCUGGACAAAGACUGACGCUCAGGUGCGAAAGCGUGGGGAGCAAACAGGAUUAGAUACCCUGGUAGUCCACGCCGUAAACGAUGUCUACUUGGAGGUUGUGCCCUUGAGGCGUGGCUUCCGGAGCUAACGCGUUAAGUAGACCGCCUGGGGAGUACGGCCGCAAGGUUAAAACUCAAAUGAAUUGACGGGGGCCCGCACAAGCGGUGGAGCAUGUGGUUUAAUUCGAUGCAACGCGAAGAACCUUACCUGGUCUUGACAUCCACAGAACUUUCCAGAGAUGGAUUGGUGCCUUCGGGAACUGUGAGACAGGUGCUGCAUGGCUGUCGUCAGCUCGUGUUGUGAAAUGUUGGGUUAAGUCCCGCAACGAGCGCAACCCUUAUCCUUUGUUGCCAGCGGUCCGGCCGGGAACUCAAAGGAGACUGCCAGUGAUAAACUGGAGGAAGGUGGGGAUGACGUCAAGUCAUCAUGGCCCUUACGACCAGGGCUACACACGUGCUACAAUGGCGCAUACAAAGAGAAGCGACCUCGCGAGAGCAAGCGGACCUCAUAAAGUGCGUCGUAGUCCGGAUUGGAGUCUGCAACUCGACUCCAUGAAGUCGGAAUCGCUAGUAAUCGUGGAUCAGAAUGCCACGGUGAAUACGUUCCCGGGCCUUGUACACACCGCCCGUCACACCAUGGGAGUGGGUUGCAAAAGAAGUAGGUAGCUUAACCUUCGGGAGGGCGCUUACCACUUUGUGAUUCAUGACUGGGGUGAAGUCGUAACAAGGUAACCGUAGGGGAACCUGCGGUUGGA